This 498-nucleotide ribosomal RNA is filed under the name uncultured bacterium. RNAcentral's name for it is "partial 16S ribosomal RNA". It matches the Rfam family "Bacterial small subunit ribosomal RNA", at positions 30 to 523 of the family's 1533-position model. The record is from RNAcentral.
AUUGAACGCUGGCGGCAUGCCUUACACAUGCAAGUCGAACGGUAACAGGUCUUCGGAUGCUGACGAGUGGCGAACGGGUGAGUAAUACAUCGGAACGUGCCUAGUAGUGGGGGAUAACUUCUCGAAAGAGUGGCUAAUACCGCAUGAGAUCUACGGAUGAAAGCAGGGGAUCGCAAGACCUUGUGCUACUAGAGCGGCCGAUGGCAGAUUAGGUAGUUGGUGGGAUAAAAGCUUACCAAGCCGACGAUCUGUAGCUGGUCUGAGAGGACGAUCAGCCACACUGGGACUGAGACACGGCCCAGACUCCUACGGGAGGCAGCAGUGGGGAAUUUUGGAAAAUGGGCGAAAGCCUGAUCCAGCAAUGCCGCGUGCAGGAUGAAGGCCUUCGGGUUGUAAACUGCUUUUGUACGGAACGAAAAGCCCCGGGUUAAUACCCUGGGGUCAUGACGGUACCGUAAGAAUAAGCACCGGCUAACUACGUGCCAGCCGCCGCAGUAA